AGUGAACGCUGGCGGUAGGCCUAACACAUGCGAGUCGAACGGCAGCACAGUAAGAGCUUGCUCUUACGGGUGGCGAGUGGCGGACGGGUGAGGAAUACAUCGGAAUCUACUUUUUCGUGGGGGAUAACGUAGGGAAACUUACGCUAAUACCGCAUACGACCUACGGGUGAAAGCAGGGGAUCUUCGGACCUUGCGCGAUUGAAUGAGCCGAUGUCGGAUUAGCUAGUUGGCGGGGUAAAGGCCCACCAAGGCGACGAUCCGUAGCUGGUCUGAGAGGAUGAUCAGGCACAGUGGAACUGAGCCGCGGUCCAGACUCCGACGGGAGGCACCAGUGGGGAAUAUUGGACAAUGGGCGCAAGCCUGAUCCAGCCAUACCGCGUGGGUGCAGAAGGCCUUCGGGUUGUAAAGCCCUUUUGUUGGGAAAGAAAAGCAGCAGGUUAAUACCCCGCUGUUCUGACGGUACCCAAAGAAUAAGCACCGGCUAACUUCGUG
Molecule: ribosomal RNA, 492 nt
Filed under: uncultured bacterium
Lineage: Bacteria
Description: partial 16S ribosomal RNA
Rfam family: Bacterial small subunit ribosomal RNA
Source: RNAcentral